This is a non-coding RNA of Oncorhynchus mykiss (rainbow trout), 475 nucleotides long. NCBI's taxonomy places the organism in Eukaryota, Metazoa, Chordata, Actinopteri, Salmoniformes, Salmonidae. The record is from RefSeq and is a predicted model, not a curated record.
UACCAGCUAGACCUCCAGAUCAAUGUUUUGGCACAUAUGUUACCACCACAGCUAGCUGGCUACAAAUCUAACAGAGCCAGCAAUCCAGCAAUAAGGAAAGCACGGAUGAGAUGCAAACAAAUAAAAACAGACAGUCACAAGUACUCCAAAAGGCGUAACACCACACUCACUGGGAGGUCGACAGGGCCGUCGACUCCUGGGCAUCUGCUGCAGUUCAUCUUUAAGGACAUUCCCACCACGGAGUGACUGACCAGUUGAAAGGGAUACAUUUACUCUGACUCAAAAUGAUUUAAAUCAUGGAGGACGGGAGAGGCAUAUUGUCGGGGACUGAUUCCUCCUGUCAUUUCCUCCAUAUGUUUUGUCAGUGCCAGAUAAAUCACUGUGACAGCCAAACAGAAGCCAGGAAGGCCCCCAGGAGAAUUUAGCAGUACGUCCAACCGGCCUCACAACCGCAGACCACGUUUAACCAUGCCAG